RNAcentral lists this ribosomal RNA (231 nucleotides) under uncultured fungus. RNAcentral describes it as "partial 18S ribosomal RNA". It matches the Rfam family "Eukaryotic small subunit ribosomal RNA", at positions 678 to 905 of the family's 1831-position model. Lineage: Eukaryota; Fungi. The record is from RNAcentral.
GAAUUGCACUGCUCUGGCUGAACCUUUCCUUCUGACGAACUAUUGUGCUAUUCAUUUAGUGCGAUAGGGAAUCAGGACUUUUACUUUGAAAAAAUUAGAGUGUUUAAAGCAGGCUUACGCUUGAAUACAUUAGCAUGGAAUAAUAGAAUAGGACUUUGGUUUUAUUUUGUUGGUUUCUAAGACCGAAGUAAUGAUUAAUAGGGAUAGUUGGGGACAUUAGUAUUUAGUCGU